Helianthus annuus (common sunflower) is the source of this 3085-nucleotide long non-coding RNA. RefSeq lists it as uncharacterized. NCBI's taxonomy places the organism in Eukaryota, Viridiplantae, Streptophyta, Magnoliopsida, Asterales, Asteraceae. The record is from RefSeq and is a predicted model, not a curated record. The transcript has 11 exons.
UGUAUAGUACACCAUCUCUGUUUCCUUUCCUCUUGUUUUCUUUGUACAAGAUUAUCACCAUCAAACUUUAAGAUUUGAAUGUCAGACACUCAAUUGAGCAUUACCCUAAUAUUAUAUUUAGAAAUGUGAUUGGGAAUAAUUCACUUCUAAUAAAAAGGCCCUAGAUAUUUUUUUUAUAUAAAAAACCAAACAAACAUAUCACCCAACCUCUCCUCUCUCUCUCCCGUACAGAUCCGGCGACCGGACUCCGGCGACGGCUCCGGCCGGUCCCGUUUGUUUCUCCGGUAGGCAACAUCACCACAACCCUCCUCCCCUCUGCUCCUUCUCCCUCUCGACUUGUGCUCCGGCUUCGUUUACGGCUAACACCUCUCUCUCCUACUCUCACUCUACUCUUUUUCUGAACAAACGGCCGACCACCGCUCGAUGGUGGCGGCGCUCAAACACAGCGGCAACAGCUGCGACGUACGACAGAUGGGGGGUAUGGUGGGGUCGGGUGGCGUCUCAAGGCGGAGAAGGAGCGGUUGCUCCGACAAACCUCCGACAGGCCCGACGAAGCUGAUGAUGAUGAUGUGGCCACUGUUGUUGCUGACUGAUGAUGAUGGUGGAUGCCGAUGAUGGACGUCCAGCGGUGGCAUUAGCCGGCCGGAGACAUUAGGCGGCGGGGGUGCUUUAUUUUUCGACAAAGUUAUACGAUGAUGUUGUAGUGUCGGCUUAGUUUCGGGCUAUUCACAGUCAAAAUGUUCGGGUUAGGUGUGAACUCGGUUCAGACAUGGCAUGGUUCAACAGGCUUCUUCAUCUCAAGUGCAGUUCAGUUUCGUUUCAGAUUCGGGUUUUUCGGCUCGGCUACAGUUUGGGUUCGGUUAGCUCAGUGGUGGUUCGGGACGACACGGUUCAUCGGGUCAGAUUUGGACUCGGGUCAACUCAGUUCGGGUCCGGGUCAACACAGUCAAAACUCGGUCAACCUGAGUUAACUCGGUCAAACCGAGUCAACUCAGUCAACGACAGUCAACGAUGGUCAAACUCAGUCAAACGAAGAUCCGUUUGGUUCGCUACAAGCUGAUGGGAGCGAGAUUGAAGACUACUGAAAAUGUGCGAAGACUUUGGAGGGAGUGGGAGAUUCAUGGCAACGACAUUAUUGAUGAUGGUGGCUGAUUAGCUUUUGUUUAUCUUUGUGUUAGUUGGUCUAGAUAAUAGUCUAGUGGGACGUUCUUUGUAGUUUUGGUUCUAUUUUUGGUUCUUUCGUUUACUUUCAUGGGGCAUGUCCCAUGAUUGAACUAGUGUAGGCUCUCUACACUACUUGGUUUUUAUUGGUUGUGAAUAUAUAGAAUCACCGGGGUAACCCUUUACCCAAAAAAAAAAGUAUAUUUCGGGUGAUUUUUGACGUAUUUCUUUUAACUAACUUUUGAUUAGUAAACGAUGUAUCGUUUCAAGAUGUAGCUCAUGCAACAACGUUAGCUGGUUUUUAAUUUGCACUACCCAGUUUACAGUAUGCAUAUCCCAAUCAACAAGAAACUUGAGGUCGCUGUUAAAAGAACAAGUAAAUCAUUCCUUCAAAAGGUAUGCCUCUGUGCCAUUCUAAAGUGGAGAAAGUAACUACAGAAGACCUCUUUGAGCUCUCAGAGAUUGAAAAGUACAACCUGGGAAUGACUAGGCAUACGGUUUCUCUCUCUGAUGUGGAUAAUACCCCAGAAUCUUUAUCGGUGUUAAGCGAUAAUGAUGUACAUGGGUUAUAUGACUUUCUUCUUCUUCUUAAUUACAUUGAAAGUCUUUGUUUUUUAUUUGCAGGUUUCUUUUACCAUCUCUGAAUAUACUAGAUGUUCCUUUACUUUAUUCACCAGUACCAUUUGAAAAUGCUGCUGUUUUUGCAGCAGAGGUUAAAUGCAAGGAGGUGAGGAAAAUUGAUCAUGUAUUCGCUUUAAAUGCAAGCAGGUAUUAUGGUCUCUUGCCCCAUUGCUGAGGUGGGGGGUGGAUCCUCUAAUGUUCAUUAAGUAUUGAAACUCCAAUUCAAGUAAGGUUUCUAAUUUAUGCAGUACCACAUUGUUAUUUUCCAGAACUUUAAUUUGUUUCGUUUAAUUUAUGCAGUCCCGCACUAUUGUUGAUAUGAAACUGCUCAAGUAACAUAGAAUUUUUGAACUCUUUGAAUUAAUGUUCAGGUUUUUGUUCAUCCAUCUUUUUGAAUAUCUUGUUGACGUCAUCCAGGUUAACAAAUUAAAUGAUGAAAGAAUUUGGAGAAAAGGUUUUCGUGUUUGGUUGUUGAUUCGGCGUUGAGUAUGUAACUACUGUGAACCUUUCUACUCCAAACAAGUCGAAUAAAGAAAACUUAACGGGUUUAAUGGGUUUGCACAAAGUAUUAUUCUAACGCGUAUAAGUAUAUAACUUCUGUUUAAUUAAAAACUUGAAUUAUUUAUCGCAUUAAUUACUGAUGCUAGAAAAUCUGGAUUUUUUUAUAAAAGUUUAUGACUCAGACACUACAUAUUGGCAGGCUCAGGAGAAUUCAAAGAAAGGAUGGGGAUAUGGCUGUGGUAAAUCAAAGUCACACACCCUGACCCACGGUACUUUUGGGCUUCUUGCACCAUCCCGGCAUACAAGCAGGUCAGCACAUUUGGAUGCAUCACCAAUGAGACAUCACUGUUCGGAAGGCCCAAGAAUGCCAGAUGGGACACAGGGUAAUACAAUGGGAAGAAGGAAACCUAUUCUAACAGGUUUACCAUAAGUCUGUGUUUAGAGACUUGAGAAAUCACCAAACGGAUUUUGUAAGCUGGUGUAAUGCCAACAGGAGAUGAGAGAACGUGUUUAUCAUGUUGUCACGGCAAAAAAGAAUGGAGUUGUUUAGAGAUUUGAGAAGAAUUUGCUUCUUGAAAAGAUAGUGGAAUCAGUUUGCUAUUGUUUUGUUGCUAGAUCAAUGUACUUUUAGAUUAUUUCUCUAAAAUUUUAAAAGCUUAUUCUUCAAGAUCGUGAUCGCGAUGAAUGUGACAAUCACCUCGCGAUCCAGUGACAAUCAGAGGGAUGAAAAUGUUUCCGGUUACCAUCUUUGAUGUAUAAAUUUUUGUUUCAAUGAAUUUAAAGUGGAUGUGUGAAUUAGAAA